ACGCUCGACACCUACGGGAGGCAGCAGUUGGGAAUAUUGGACAAUGGAGGGAAACUCUGAUCCAGUGACGCCGCGUGAAGGAAGAAGGUCUUCGGAUUGUAAACUUAUUUUGUCAGGGAAGAAAAAAUGACUGUACCUGAAGAAAAAGCACCGGCUAACUACGUGUCAGCAGCCGCGGUAAUCUGAGCGGGCUGGCAAGGC
Molecule: ribosomal RNA, 201 nt
Filed under: uncultured bacterium
Lineage: Bacteria
Description: partial 16S ribosomal RNA
Rfam family: Bacterial small subunit ribosomal RNA
Source: RNAcentral